UAGUCCACGCCGUAAACGAUGAGUGCUAGCUGUCGGGACAUUAGUCUCGGUGGCGCAGCUAACGCAGUAAGCACUCCGCCUGGGAAGUACGGUCGCAAGAUUAAAACUCAAAGGAAUUGACGGGGACCCGCACAAGCGGUGGAGCAUGUGGUUUAAUUCGAAGCAACGCGCAGAACCUUACCCAGGCUUGACAUCCUUUGAACCAUUGGGAAACCUUUGGGUGCCACCUUUGGGUGGAACAGAGUGACAGGUGCUGCAUGACUGUCGUCAGCUCGUGCUGCGAGGUGUUCGGUUAAGUCCGGCAACGAGCGCAACCCCUGCCGUUAGUUACCAGCAUUUAGUUGGGGACUCUAGCGGGACUGCCGGUGAUAAACCGGAGGAAGGUGGGGACGACGUCAAGUCCUCAUGGCCCUUAUGUCUGGGGCUACACACGUGCUACAAUGGCAUCUACAGAGGGCAGCAAAGCCGCGAGGUGGAGCAAAUACCACAAAAGAUGCCUCAGUUCGGAGUUG
This 512-nucleotide ribosomal RNA is filed under the name uncultured bacterium. Its description in RNAcentral is "bacterial SSU rRNA". It matches the Rfam family "Bacterial small subunit ribosomal RNA", at positions 791 to 1301 of the family's 1533-position model. The record is from RNAcentral.